AACGUAGGAGACGAGCGUUAUCCGGAUUUACUGGGCGUAAAGAGCGUGUAGGAGGCAAUACAAGUUGGAUGUAAAAGCUCUCGGCUAAACUGAGAGAGGACGUUCAAGACUGUAGAGCUAGAGGAAGGCAGAGGUAGAUGGAACUCCGGGAGUAGUGGUGAAAUGCGUAGAUAUCCGGAAGAACACCAGAGGCGAAAGCGAUCUACUGGGCCUUAACAGACACUGAGACGCGAAAGCCAGGGUAGCAAACGGGAUUAGAGACCCCGGUAGUCCUGGCCGUAAACGAUGUAGACUAGGCGCUUGUCGGGCAAAACCGAUGAGUGUCGAAGCGAACGCGAUAAGUCUACCGCCUGGGGAGUACGGUCGCAAGAUUAAA
Molecule: ribosomal RNA, 376 nt
Filed under: uncultured bacterium
Lineage: Bacteria
Description: bacterial SSU rRNA
Rfam family: Bacterial small subunit ribosomal RNA
Source: RNAcentral